RNAcentral lists this ribosomal RNA (684 nucleotides) under Bacillus paramycoides. RNAcentral's name for it is "bacterial SSU rRNA". It matches the Rfam family "Bacterial small subunit ribosomal RNA", at positions 56 to 721 of the family's 1533-position model. The record is from RNAcentral. Lineage: Bacteria; Bacillati; Bacillota; Bacilli; Caryophanales; Bacillaceae.
UGCAGUCGAGCGAAUGGAUUAAGAGCUUGCUCUUAUGAAGUUAGCGGCGGACGGGUGAGUAACACGUGGGUAACCUGCCCAUAAGACUGGGAUAACUCCGGGAAACCGGGGCUAAUACCGGAUAACAUUUUGAACCGCAUGGUUCGAAAUUGAAAGGCGGCUUCGGCUGUCACUUAUGGAUGGACCCGCGUCGCAUUAGCUAGUUGGUGAGGUAACGGCUCACCAAGGCAACGAUGCGUAGCCGACCUGAGAGGGUGAUCGGCCACACUGGGACUGAGACACGGCCCAGACUCCUACGGGAGGCAGCAGUAGGGAAUCUUCCGCAAUGGACGAAAGUCUGACGGAGCAACGCCGCGUGAGUGAUGAAGGCUUUCGGGUCGUAAAACUCUGUUGUUAGGGAAGAACAAGUGCUAGUUGAAUAAGCUGGCACCUUGACGGUACCUAACCAGAAAGCCACGGCUAACUACGUGCCAGCAGCCGCGGUAAUACGUAGGUGGCAAGCGUUAUCCGGAAUUAUUGGGCGUAAAGCGCGCGCAGGUGGUUUCUUAAGUCUGAUGUGAAAGCCCACGGCUCAACCGUGGAGGGUCAUUGGAAACUGGGAGACUUGAGUGCAGAAGAGGAAAGUGGAAUUCCAUGUGUAGCGGUGAAAUGCGUAGAGAUAUGGAGGAACACCAGUGGCGAAGG